Molecule: ribosomal RNA, 164 nt
Filed under: uncultured bacterium
Lineage: Bacteria
Description: partial 16S ribosomal RNA
Rfam family: Bacterial small subunit ribosomal RNA
Source: RNAcentral
UAGGGAAUCUUCCACAAUGGGCGCAAGCCUGAUGGAGCAACGCCGCGUGAGUGAAGAAGGGUUUCGGCUCGUAAAGCUCUGUUGUUAAAGAAGAACGUGGGUAAGAGUAACUGUUUACCCAGUGACGGUAUUUAACCAGAAAGCCACGGCUAACUACGUGUCAG